UCCACAUUGAAAUCGGGUUUCGUUAACAGCGGGCUGUUAUGAAUAAAUCAACAAGUUCGUUGUCGACGAAACCUGCAUGCUGUGUGGAG
RNAcentral lists this microRNA precursor (89 nucleotides) under Drosophila pseudoobscura. RNAcentral's name for it is "microRNA dps-mir-981 precursor". Its record names the gene dps-mir-981. It matches the Rfam family "mir-981 microRNA precursor family". RNAcentral also lists the same sequence under 1 other name. The record is from miRBase by way of RNAcentral. Lineage: Eukaryota; Metazoa; Arthropoda; Insecta; Diptera; Drosophilidae.